CAGUAGCCACGGGAAUACGAAGGGGGCUAGCGUUGUUCGGAUUUAUUGGGCGUAAAGCGCGCGCAGGUGGUUUAAUAAGUCUGAUGUGAAAGCCCACGGCUCAACCGUGGAGGGUCAUUGGAAACUGUUAAACUUGAGUGCAGGAGAGAAAAGUGGAAUUCCUAGUGUAGCGGUGAAAUGCGUAGAGAUUAGGAGGAACACCAGUGGCGAAGGCGGCUUUUUGGCCUGUAACUGACACUGAGGCGCGAAAGCGUGGGGAGCAAACAGGAUUAGAUACCCCAGUAGUCCCUGUCUCUUAUAA
RNAcentral lists this ribosomal RNA (301 nucleotides) under uncultured bacterium. RNAcentral describes it as "partial 16S ribosomal RNA". It matches the Rfam family "Bacterial small subunit ribosomal RNA", at positions 509 to 809 of the family's 1533-position model. The record is from RNAcentral.